This 254-nucleotide ribosomal RNA is filed under the name uncultured bacterium. Its description in RNAcentral is "partial 16S ribosomal RNA". It matches the Rfam family "Bacterial small subunit ribosomal RNA", at positions 524 to 776 of the family's 1533-position model. The record is from RNAcentral.
UACGUAGGCAGCGAGCGUUGUUCGGAGUUACUGGGCGUGAAGGGUGUGUAGGCGGUUAUUUAAGUUUGGUGUGAAAUCUCCCGGCUUAACUGGGAGGGUGCGCCGAAUACUGAAUGACUUGGAGUGCGGGAGAGGAAAGUGGAAUUCCUGGUGUAGCGGUGAAAUGCGUAGAUAUCAGGAGGAACACCGGUGGUGUAGACGGCUUUCUGGACCGUAACUGACGCUGAGACACGAAAGCGUGGGUAGCAAACAGG